UUUAAUUUGGGUUUUAACUGGGAGAUAGAGAGAAGAACAAUGUUCUUAGGGUUUCAAGCUUGACCCGCCAAAUCCUCUCAAAAAACCCCUCAUCUGCAUUUCCUCUGCAUGAAUCGGAUCUUCACAGGGACAUCCGUCCGGAAUUCCUGCGGUAUUCUGUUUCCUCUCCGACGACAAUGGCGUCGAAGGUAUCGCCAUCUGCCUCGGCGAAUAGAUCGGACCCAACCAAGGAAUCUUCCAUGACACAACAUCAAGAAAGAACUCCAACUAAUAAGGAGAUUUUGUUGGUCAUUGAUUCUCUAAAGAAGGAAGUUGGAGCGGAUCGUGGUGUUUAUAUAAAGAAAAGAAUGGAACAAACUGGAAAAUGCUGGUUGGCACCACCAACAUCUUUACG
Molecule: non-coding RNA, 394 nt
Organism: Carica papaya (papaya)
Lineage: Eukaryota; Viridiplantae; Streptophyta; Magnoliopsida; Brassicales; Caricaceae
Source: RefSeq, a predicted model, not a curated record